UAGAAUAUGGUGUAAAGCGGUAGCACGGAGAAUUUUGAUUUCUUAGGUGUGGGUUCAAUUCCUAUAUUUCUAG
RNAcentral lists this transfer RNA (73 nucleotides) under Cyclopes didactylus (silky anteater). RNAcentral's name for it is "tRNA-Gln". It matches the Rfam family "tRNA". Rfam says of the family: Transfer RNA (tRNA) molecules are approximately 80 nucleotides in length. Their secondary structure includes four short double-helical elements and three loops (D, anti-codon, and T loops). Further hydrogen bonds mediate the characteristic L-shaped molecular structure. tRNAs have two regions of fundamental functional importance: the anti-codon, which is responsible for specific mRNA codon recognition, and the 3' end, to which the tRNAs corresponding amino acid is attached (by aminoacyl-tRNA synthetases). tRNAs cope with the degeneracy of the genetic code in two manners: having more than one tRNA (with a specific anti-codon) for a particular amino acid; and 'wobble' base-pairing, i.e. permitting non-standard base-pairing at the 3rd anti-codon position. The record is from RNAcentral. Lineage: Eukaryota; Metazoa; Chordata; Mammalia; Pilosa; Cyclopedidae.